Long non-coding RNA from Thalassophryne amazonica, 156 nucleotides. RefSeq lists it as uncharacterized. The transcript has 2 exons. NCBI's taxonomy places the organism in Eukaryota, Metazoa, Chordata, Actinopteri, Batrachoidiformes, Batrachoididae. The record is from RefSeq and is a predicted model, not a curated record.
CAGGCAGAGAUUGAAGAGCGGGAGGAGAGGAGGAGGUUGCAGGAACUCCGAGAGCAAGAGAAGCAUCAGGAGGAGGAGAAGGAGCGACUGCUGGAACAGCAACAGGAAGAGGAGGAGCUCCGAGGCAAGGAGGAGGAAGAGAGGAGACAAGAGCAG